Molecule: non-coding RNA, 931 nt
Filed under: Pristimantis incertus
Lineage: Eukaryota; Metazoa; Chordata; Amphibia; Anura; Strabomantidae
Description: 12S ribosomal RNA
Rfam family: Bacterial small subunit ribosomal RNA
Source: RNAcentral
CACAGCGCUUGUGUCCUGACCUUAAAAUCAAUUACUUCACAACUUACACAUGCAAGUCUCCGCACACCCGUGAAAACGCCCUUUAACCCAUCCAGGAGCAAGGAGCUGAUAUCAGGCACAAUAAUUUGCCCAAAACAUCUAGCCACGCCACACCCACAAGGGUACUCAGCAGUGAUUAAUAUUAAAAAUAAACGUCAGUUUGAUUUAGUUAGUGAAAAAAGAGCCGGCAAAUCUGGUGCCAGCCGCCGCGGUUACACCACUGAGGCCCAAAUUGACCACUUCGGCGUAAAGCGUGAUUAAAGAAACUCUCACUGGGGUUAAACCAGAACUAAACCGUAAAAACCUUGUUCUCAAGAAACUCCACCCGAAAGGCACCCCAACCCACCAACUUGAAUUCACGACAGCUAGAACACAAACUAAGAUUAGAUACCUUACUAUGCCUAGCCGUAAACUUUUAACUUACCCCCAAUACCCGCCAGGAAACUACGAGCAAAGCUUAAAACCCAAAGGACUUGACGGUACCCCAUUCCCCCCUAGAGGAGCCUGUCCUAUAAUCGAUGAUCCCCGUUAAACCUCACCAUCUUUAGUCCCUCAGCUUGUAUACUUCCGUCUCCAGCUCACCGCAUGAGCGAAACUCAGUGAGCUCAAUGGCUUACCGCCAAUACGUCAGGUCAAAGUGCAGCAAAUAAAAUGGUUAGAGAUGGGCUACACUCUCUACUAUAGAAGAUACGAAAAUUACAUGAAACUGUAAUCAGAAGGCGGAUUUAGAAGUAAAAGAAAAUUAGAACAUUUCUUUUAACCCGGCACUGGAGUGUGUACACACCGCCCGUCACCCCCUUCGACAAACUAACUAAGUUCUUAACAACACAAUCUUUAAUAGAAGGGGCAAGUCGUAACAUGGUAAGUGUACCGGAAGGUGUACUUGGAUAAA